GUUAGCUCAGUUGGUUGGAGCGAGGUGCUAAUGUUGCCAAGGUCAUGGGUUUGAUCCCUUUAUGGGCCAAUGGAGACCCUUCUGGCC
Molecule: microRNA precursor, 87 nt
Filed under: Vicugna pacos (alpaca)
Lineage: Eukaryota; Metazoa; Chordata; Mammalia; Artiodactyla; Camelidae
Description: miRNA (ENSVPAG00000016247.1)
Source: RNAcentral